This 460-nucleotide ribosomal RNA is filed under the name uncultured bacterium. RNAcentral describes it as "partial 16S ribosomal RNA". It matches the Rfam family "Bacterial small subunit ribosomal RNA", at positions 338 to 795 of the family's 1533-position model. The record is from RNAcentral.
CCUACGGGAGGCAGCAGUGAGGAAUAUUGGUCAAUGGGCUAAGGCCUGAACCAGCCAAGUCGCGUGAGGGAAGACGGCCCUAUGGGUCGUAAACCUCUUUUGUCAGGGAGCAAUGGCGUCCACGUGUGGGCGUAUGGAGAUUACCUGAAGAAAAGGCAUCGGCUAACUCCGUGCCAGCAGCCGCGGUAAUCCGGAGGAUGCGAGCGUUAUCCGGUUUUAUUGGGUUUAAAGGGUGUGUAGGCGGGACCUUAAGUCAGCGGUAAAAUUGCGGUGCUCAACGCCGUAGAGCCGUUGAAACUGGGGUUCUUGAGUGAGCGAGAAGUAUGCGGAAUGCGUGGUGUAGCGGUGAAAUGCAUAGAUAUCACGAAGAACCCCGAUUGCGAAGGCAGCAUACCGGCGCUCAACUGACGCUGAGGCACGAAAGUGCGGGUAUCGAACAGGAUUAGAUACCCCAGUAGUC